ACGGAGGGGGCGAACGUUGUUCGGAAUUACUGGGCGUAAAGGGUGCGUAGGCGGUUCGGCCAGUCUGAUGUGAAAGCCCAUAGCUCAACUAUGGAUCCGCAUUGGAAACUACCGAGCUAGAGAGUGAAAGAGGCAGGUGGAAUUCCUGGUGUAGCGGUGAAAUGCGUAGAUAUCAGGAAGAACGCUCGUGGCGAAGGCGGGCUGCUGGUCUAUUUCUGACGCUGAGGCACGAAAGCCAGGGGAGCAAACGG
This 251-nucleotide ribosomal RNA is filed under the name uncultured prokaryote. RNAcentral's name for it is "partial 16S rRNA". It matches the Rfam family "Bacterial small subunit ribosomal RNA", at positions 525 to 775 of the family's 1533-position model. The record is from RNAcentral.